Hevea brasiliensis (rubber tree) is the source of this 739-nucleotide long non-coding RNA. RefSeq lists it as uncharacterized. The record is from RefSeq and is a predicted model, not a curated record. The transcript is spliced from 3 exons. NCBI's taxonomy places the organism in Eukaryota, Viridiplantae, Streptophyta, Magnoliopsida, Malpighiales, Euphorbiaceae.
CCCCCCCCCCAUCUCUCUCUCUCUUUCUUUUUCAUUUUCUUUCUUUCUCUUUUUUGGCCAUAACUUCCUUCUUCGGUCAUAACUUCCUUCUUUGGUUACCGUUUUUGACGUUCUUGAUAUCAAAACGCUCCUCUCUUCAUGGGCAUCAUGUAGAUACCAAGUUUGCACAGUAUAAUUUCCCGGUUUAUGCAAAUCAAGCUUCAGAAAUUUUAGCCCAUUUUGACUUCUGGGUGUUCUCGUUUUAAGGAAACUCCACCAGUGAUCAAAACUGCAUUUUCAGGCCGGAUAGAUGGGCCGUCGGACCCACUUUGGAAGUGGGUUAAUAUUAUAGUGUUUCUCACCAUUUUCAGAUGCCCCGAAUGCGUUCCAGGUGUCAGAAUUGGUAUAGGAUGGGUAGUUAUGGCUGGAGCUUGAUUCGCUGAGACCCGAUUCAUAUAUAUGAAUAAGUCAGGGUGAAUACAGCUUUGAGUUGAUCUCACUGACCCCCACAUUUGGAUUAUUAAGAGAAAGUCCAGCCAGAGUUGAUCACGCUAGCAGGUGUUAGAAUUAAGAGAGUUGUAUAAGGAAUCGACUCCCAUAUGUAUACACACUUUGAUGUGACACAUGGGUGUGUGAGUGCUCCAAAUUAUCUUUUGUGUGAAUAUUGUUUGAAUUAUUUGAAAUUAUGUGUGUAUGUUGCAUUUCACACAUAGGAAUGUAUUAGGCUUAGAUAAUUAUAGAAAUUGUAUUUAAAAUCAAU